Molecule: regulatory RNA element, 31 nt
Rfam family: Iron response element II
About the family: IRE, TFRC, SLC40A1, SDHB, SLC11A2, CDC42BPA, ACO2, ALAS2_H.SAPIENS, CDC14A, EPAS1, ALAS2, qoxD, Hao1, NDUFS1, transferrin, Aconitate.
Source: Rfam
CCGUAAUCUUCAACAGUGAUUGAGAUUACUG